Molecule: transfer RNA, 56 nt
Organism: Alligator mississippiensis (American alligator)
Lineage: Eukaryota; Metazoa; Chordata; Crocodylia; Alligatoridae
Rfam family: tRNA
About the family: Transfer RNA (tRNA) molecules are approximately 80 nucleotides in length. Their secondary structure includes four short double-helical elements and three loops (D, anti-codon, and T loops). Further hydrogen bonds mediate the characteristic L-shaped molecular structure. tRNAs have two regions of fundamental functional importance: the anti-codon, which is responsible for specific mRNA codon recognition, and the 3' end, to which the tRNAs corresponding amino acid is attached (by aminoacyl-tRNA synthetases). tRNAs cope with the degeneracy of the genetic code in two manners: having more than one tRNA (with a specific anti-codon) for a particular amino acid; and 'wobble' base-pairing, i.e. permitting non-standard base-pairing at the 3rd anti-codon position.
Source: Rfam
UGGUUCAGCGGUAGAAUCCUUGUCUGCCACACAGGAGGCCCGGGUUGAAUUCCUGG